RNAcentral lists this long non-coding RNA (2939 nucleotides) under Sus scrofa (pig). RNAcentral describes it as "lncRNA (ENSSSCG00040005410.1)". Lineage: Eukaryota; Metazoa; Chordata; Mammalia; Artiodactyla; Suidae. The record is from RNAcentral.
CUCCGCGGAUACAGCCGGCCGGGUACCGACAGCAAACCAAAUAUAAGCUUGUCGUGGGGUUUCUCCUGACACAUUUAAGGAAAUUCAAGAAAUCGAAUGCAUCAUCUCUGAGGGGAAAAGGAGAUAAAGGUCCAGAACCCAUCCAAACGCUUCGUUCGGACCAGAUCUUUUCCAAAGGGAACGCACCAGAUGAUGGGCAUGAAAGGCCCUUAGAAAUGAGAUCAAUCUCGGCCUCUCUCUGAGGACAGCACUCAGGACCAGAGACUGGAGCCGGCUUGUUCAAGGUCACUCGGCGAGCUAAUGGAAGACCCGGGGCCACAGGUCAGAGGUCAUGGUUCACUGCACUAUUUUAUUCUGCACAUACACACAAAAAUGAUUUGGGGAAAUUCUUUAGCAAAGGCAGAAGAGUGAAAGCUGGCAAAUUUUGGAUGGAAAUUUAAGACAGAGCAUGAGUCAGAUCUCUUUAAAGUAUCACUCAGUGUUUUUGCUGUGACAGUACAUAAAAAUAACACUAGCUAACUAGUUUAGUGAAGGCUUGCCACCAGCCAGACACUGCCUUAAACACUUGACACACUUUUUUGCAUUUAAAUCUCCAAACGAUGCUCUGAGAAAGGAAUCCAUUUCACAGAUGAGGAAACUGAGACUUAGGGAAAGGAACUUUCCCAAAGGUACCCGGAUAGGGCAAUUUUGACAGCGGCUGGAGCAUAACAACACUCUGAAAUUCACAGCCAUUCUCGUCACAUGUCCCUUAGAUUUCUGAUGCUGAGAUUGAGCCUCGUAUUCAGUCUAUGCGGGCACCAUCUGCAGCUGUAGAGGCCUUGUUCUAAACAUCUCACGUCAGCCCUGCCAAAGUGCAGCUUUGCAAGUGAGCCCCCAGAAACCCAUUCAUUCAUUUAUCCAUUCAAUAAUUUUUUUUUCUUUUUAGGGCCGCACCCGAUGCAUAUGGAAGUUCCUGGGCUAGGGGUCGAAUUGGAGCUGGAGCUGCCGGCUUGUAUCACAGCCACAGCAACAUGAGACCUGAGCUGGUGACCUACACCUCAGCUCACAGCAACACCAGAUCCUUAACCCACUGAGUGAGGCCAGGGAUGGAACCAGCAUCCUCAGGGAUACUAGUCAGGUUCUUAACCCACUGAGCCACAAUGGGAACCCUAUUCAAUAAUUUUUAUUUAUGGCCAGAAGCAGUCCAGACACUGAGGGAAACAUGAAGAAAUGUAAAACACAACUCGUCUCUCAAGUAAUUCCCAGUCUAUCUAGGGAUCAAUGCCCCUAAGUCCAGCAUGAAGAUCUGGGAGAUAGGAGAGAUUUAAAACAUCCUGGCCCAACUUCCUACCCAAGGCAAGAAGCCCCCCUACCCUAUUCCCACCAGAUCCAGCUUCUGCUGAAAUAAGUCUGGAGACAGAGAAUUUAGGGCUCAACCAUGCAGGAAGCCAGAUCUUUCCAGUUCUAAUUGUGAGAAAGACAAAAACAACAACAACAACAAAACCUCUCUCUGAUUUUAAGCUGAAAUUCAGCUUCUGGUAACGUUUGCCCUCCUGGCACGUUCACAGGCCGCUGUCCCAUCUUCCCUGAGUCAUUUGUGUGCCCUAAAUGGUUCCUCAGGCAAGUCCUCACCAUCCAUCUCCAGGUGCCAAUUCCUUCCCACAAGGCUCCCUUCGUGGAAGGUGUAUAGGGGGCGUCACAAGACACGAUAUUGAUUAAUUUGCUAAAUCUGUGCUUUCUGGGGUGUUCCGUAGAACACUAGUUCCACAGAGCUUAAGUAAGUACGUGCUCCAGCAAAAUAAACGCCCAUCCAUUAUUCCAUCCGAGAAAUCUCGGCAAAGCCAACCAGGUUCCAUUACUGAAACUUACCACCUCCAAGGUUAUGAGAGACUCGUGUAAGCCUGCAAAAGCAGAUACGGAAUGCUGUGAUGUCCCCCAGUCUUUUCAUGCCAGACUGGACUCUGCUCACGGAGCAUUUCCCAGAGACACUGUUCCUCAGAGAACUUUUGGGGGAAAGGUAAGUUAAAAACAAACAAACAAAAGUAAUCCAGACAGUGACCCCAUAAGCACUAAAGACCAUUCUGAAGCUGGAUGGCGGGGCGGAAGCCAUCUUUUCCUGCCGCCCCCACUUGGCACUCAACAGAUCUGUGCCCAUGGCCUUGACUUCCGAUGGCCAGCACUGCAUGUCUGCCUGAGAGCUUUGCAGCUACUGGAGACGGUACCCACGAUGGCAACGGGCUGGAAUUCCUAGAAAUCCAGCGGCCCUCCUCCCCCAGAGCAGCUGUCAACCCAGACGGACAGGCGGGCUCCUCCACCCUUGGUGGAGAUGACUCAAGGGCAUGGUUCCGCUGGAGGUUCCUUUCCAUCCCGCCUCAUUUCCUCGCGCCUCUGCUGCUUUUUCCUGCCAUCUCCUUCCACAGAAACGAUUGGCACUCCAGUCCCGUCCGGGCUCUGCUUUUGGUGGAAUGGGACUGGGCCAUCAUCUUCUUCUGCACCAGAUGCACGCGCCUCACAAAUCUCGCCCUGCCUCGGUCUCCCCACGUGUUUUUCUAGGGCUUGGGGACUCAGUCUGGCCAGGAUGGAAGAGGACUCCAGACAGGGAAACAUGGGAAAGGGGGGGCAGCUCUCGGGCACAUAAAUCACUGUGCAGCCGAGAGCUCUGCUGCUCCCAAGCCUGCAAGAGGUAAACAACGGGGUCUGAAUUAUUUGGUUUGGAAAAGGAAGAGGCCCCAGGGAGGUACGCGCCGCAGUAAUAAAUGCGGAGGAGAAACAGCUGUGCGCCGCUCGCCCGCCGCCCUCCCUCAGCGCCACCCCGGGCCGUCUCUGAAGGCGGAAAGGCAUCGCUCUCCCCGUCCCAAGUAUGGGCCGGCGUUGCCGAAGCCACAAAUCACCAAGAAAAGUGCAGAAGAAAGUUCGCCAUUUCUUGGAAUGGAGAUCAUAAUAAAUAAUAAUAAUCUGUU